Molecule: ribosomal RNA, 434 nt
Filed under: uncultured bacterium
Lineage: Bacteria
Description: partial 16S ribosomal RNA
Rfam family: Bacterial small subunit ribosomal RNA
Source: RNAcentral
AGCGAACGCUGGCGGCAGGCCUAACACAUGCAAGUCGAACGAAUCUUUCGGGGUUAGUGGCGGACGGGUGAGCAACACGUGGGAACGUGCCUUUAGGUUUGGAAUAACUUAGGGAAAAUUGUGCUAAAACCGAAUGUGCCCCUCCGGGGAAUGGUUAAUCGCCUUUAGAGGGGCCUGCGUCUGAUUAGCUAGUUGGUUGAGGUAAUGGUUCACCAAGGCGACGAUCAGUAGCUGGUCUGAGAGGAUGAUCAGCCACAUUGGGACUGAGACACGGCCCAAACUCCUACGGGAGGCAGCAGUGGGGAAUCUUGCGCAAUGGGCGAAAGCCUGACGCAGCCAUGCCGCGUGAAUGAUGAAGGUCUUAGGAUUGUAAAAUUCUUUAACCGGGGACGAUAAUGACGGUACCCGGAGAAGAAGCCCCGGCUAACUUCGUG